GACGUAGGGCGCGAGCGUUGUCCGGAUUUAUUGGGCGUAAAGAACUCGUAGGCGGCUCGUUGCGUCGGCUGUGAAAACCCGCAGCUCAACUGUGGGCUUGCAGCCGAUACGGGCGGGCUAGGAUUCGGUAGGGGAGACUGGAAUUCCUGGUGUAGCGGUGAAAUGCGCAGAUAUCAGGAGGAACACCGGUGGCGAAGGCGGGACUCUGGGCCGAUACUGACGCUGAGGAGCGAAAGCGUGGGGAGCGAACAGG
Molecule: ribosomal RNA, 253 nt
Filed under: uncultured bacterium
Lineage: Bacteria
Description: partial 16S ribosomal RNA
Rfam family: Bacterial small subunit ribosomal RNA
Source: RNAcentral